Molecule: ribosomal RNA, 906 nt
Filed under: uncultured Chytridiomycetes
Lineage: Eukaryota; Fungi; Chytridiomycota; Chytridiomycetes
Description: SSU rRNA
Rfam family: Eukaryotic small subunit ribosomal RNA
Source: RNAcentral
GCUCGUAGUUGAAUUUUGGCCCGCGGCUGGGUGGUCUUGCCGCAAGGCUUGUACUGCUCUGGUCUGGGCUUUCCUUCUGGGGAACCAAGGUGCUCUUAACUGGGUGUUUUGGGGAUCCAGGACUUUUACUUUGAAAAAAUUAGAGUGUUUAAAGCGGGCGUUUGCUUGAAUACAUUAGCAUGGAAUAAUAGAAUAGGACUUUGGUUCUAUUUUGUUGGUUUCUAGGACCGAAGUAAUGAUUAAUAGGGAUAGUUGGGGGCAUUAGUAUUUAAUUGUCAGAGGUGAAAUUCUUGGAUUUAUGAAAGACUAACUUCUGCGAAAGCAUUUGCCAAGGAUAUUCUCAUUAAUCAAGAACGAAAGUUAGGGGAUCGAAGACGAUCAGAUACCGUCGUAGUCUUAACCAUAAACUAUGCCGACUAGGGAUCGGACGAUGUUUUAAUGACUCGUUCGGCACCUUAUGAGAAAUCAAAGUCUUUGGGUACCGGGGGGAGUAUGGUCGCAAGGCUGAAACUUAAAGGAAUUGACGGAAGGGCACCACCAGGAGUGGAGCCUGCGGCUUAAUUUGACUCAACACGGGGGAAACUCACCAGGUCCAGACAUGGUAAGGAUUGACAGAUUGAGAGCUCUUUCUUGAUUCUAUGGGGUGGUGGUGCAUGGCCGUUCUUUAGUUGGGUGGAGUGAUUUGUCUGGUUAAUUCCGUUAACGAAACGAGACCUUCACCCUGCUAAAUAGGUUGCGUUCACUGUUGGUGGACGAUCAACUUCUUAGAGGGACUAUGUGAUGUAUAAUUCAUGGAAGUUUGAGGCAAUAACAGGUCUGUGAUGCCCUUANAUGUUCUGGGGCCGCACGCGCGCUACACUGACAAAGGCAGCAAGUAUCACCUUGACCGGAAGGUCUGGGUAUCUU